Molecule: ribosomal RNA, 757 nt
Filed under: uncultured Gemmata sp.
Lineage: Bacteria; Pseudomonadati; Planctomycetota; Planctomycetia; Gemmatales; Gemmataceae
Description: bacterial SSU rRNA
Rfam family: Bacterial small subunit ribosomal RNA
Source: RNAcentral
AGAGUUUGAUCAUGGCUCAGAACGAACGUUGGCGGCGUGGAUUAGGCAUGCAAGUCGGGGGAAUCCCAGCAAUGGGGGAACCGGCGUAAGGGGCAGUAAUGUGUGGGUACCUACCCUAGGGUUCGGGAUAGCCAUCAGAGAUGGUGGGUAAUACCGGAUGAUGUCGUGAGACCAAAGAUUUAUCGCCCCGGGAGGGGCCCACAUGAUAUUAGCUAGUUGGUGAGGUAAUGGCUCACCAAGGCGAAGAUGUCUAGCGGGUGUGAGAGCACGACCCGCGCCACUCGCACUGAGACACUGGCGAGACACCUACGGGUGGCUGCAGUCGAGGAUCUUCGGCAAUGAGCGCAAGCUUGACCGAGCGACGCCGCGUGAGCGAUGAAGGCCUUCGGGUUGUAAAGCUCUUUAGUGGGGGAGAAAAGCCCGCAAGGGUGUGAUCUAUCCCAAAAAUAAGCACGGGCUAAGUUCGUGCCAGCAGCCGCGGUAAGACGAACCGUGCGAACGUUGUUCGGAAUCACUGGGCUUAAAGGGAGCGUAGGCGGGCUAUCAAGUCUGGGGUGAAAUGCCACGGCUCAACCGUGGAACUGCCUCAGAUACUGACGGCCUCGAGGGAGAUAGGGGCAUGCGGAACUGUAGGUGGAGCGGUGAAAUGCGUUGAUAUCUACAGGAACUCCGGUGGCGAAAGCGGCGUGCUGGAUCUCUUCUGACGCUGAGGCUCGAAAGCUAGGGGAGCAAACGGGAUUAGAUACCCCCGUAGUCC